UGUACCCUUGCUGUAGAUGCCACCCGCCCAGCAGUCCUCAUCAUCUUGGCCCAGGAUCACCUGAAACAGAUGAUCCUCCUUUUGAGCUACCAUCAGAAGGUCCACAGUACUAGCCCAGCGCUACAUCCCAAUGCCUACGCCAUUCAUCUCACCUCAUCUCAUCACGUAGACAUUUCAUCAUGUCACAUCAUCACAAGAAGGGAAGAAGAAGCAAAGCACACCAUUGAUGUGUGUGGGUUUGAUGUAGCAUCUUCUAAGAGGUCUACAAAGAGACAUUGCAAAGCCAGGCCUCUAAAUGAUUCCUCUGUGAAACAUUGGGCCAAACAUUCCGUAACCCCUUCCUGCUCUGGUGAUCAUGCUCCCAUGACCAGAUCAUUGAACCAUUCUAGAGACUUCAAAUCCAUUGAGAUGGGAUUAAUGCCUUUGCCUACUCAGGCAGAGGACAGACUGACCAUUGCAAGUGUUCAUCAGCAUUUUCCUGCUCUUAGACGGAAAGGCCAAGGCCACCCCAAGCAUGCUGAAAUUAAUGGGCCAUCGUCAGGAAGGAGUUCACAACUGUAUAUGGAGCCAGAACAAAUGGAGAGACCUCGUUCAGUCGAUGGAUGGUAGCAACAAGGAAGAAAGCAAAUGGAGAAAUGACAUCUCAUGACCCAGGUGAAGCCUACUGUUACUAUUUGGCUAAAAUAAGCCACAUAGCUUGUGUUGAAGAAUCUUUUUUAUUUCUUUAAGAAGAAUUUGGUGCCCAUGAAAGUGAUCAAAGUUUUUUGUUCUCCAGUGACAUCAAGCAGGAGAAAAGGAUAUACUCUCCAUUGUGUGGUCUGUGGACUGGCAGCAUCAUCAUGGGUGAGAAAUGAAAAACGUGGGGUCUUCCCUCACAUGGAUCAGUAUCUGCAGUUUCACAAGCUCCCGAGGGGUGAGUGCACAUGAAGGAUUGAGUAUUGCUCCAAAUAACCAGACCAACAAGUUGGAGUUUUGUGACAAGUUCUGACAAUGGCCUGAGUAAAAAUGAUAUCUGUACCUUCUGAGACAAAAUAUUUUGUGCUAAAGCAAAAUCCUCCAGAACUCCCUUCCUCUUCAGGGGCAACAGAUGCUCCCAGGUGAAUGCUGCUAUCAACCCCAUUUUACAACGUGGAAACUGAAGAAUUGAGAUAGUAACUGCACCAAGAUCUCACAACUGGGGUAAAAAUCCAUGCAGCAUGGCCCUAGAUGAACAUAAUCUGAAAGACUGGGCUCCACGCCUCAAGGUUGGGACAGAGAGCGAGUCUCCUUGCUCAGGUUUUAUCUCUUGUUAGUUAGAUGCCAAAUACA
This is a long non-coding RNA of Homo sapiens (human), 1308 nucleotides long. The record is from Ensembl. NCBI's taxonomy places the organism in Eukaryota, Metazoa, Chordata, Mammalia, Primates, Hominidae.